GCAAUGCAGUGGUAGCGAAUCCUGGUUAUGGUGGUUAGCUUCGCGAUGGUAGAUUUAGGGAAAACGAUGAGGCGCUUUGUGGCUACGUUUUGGUGGUGGAGAAGGGAGGAUGCACGAAGAACUUGAACAUUGGCCAUGGUAGCUUUUGGUCGGUGAAACAGAAAAGGGUUGUUGGUGGUUUUGGUUUUGGUUUAAGUUUAGGUUAUGGUGAGUUUUUUGGUGGUGAUAGAAGUGGAAGUUAUUAGGGUGGCGCCUCUGGUUGGCCU
Molecule: long non-coding RNA, 266 nt
Filed under: Vigna radiata
Lineage: Eukaryota; Viridiplantae; Streptophyta; Magnoliopsida; Fabales; Fabaceae
Description: long non-coding RNA (VRAD_LNC004876)
Source: RNAcentral